AACGAACGCUGGCGGCAGGCUUAACACAUGCAAGUCGAACGAGAUCUUCGGAUCUAGUGGCAGACGGGUGAGGAACACGUGGGAACAUCCCUUUCAGUUCGGAAUAACGUUGGGAAACUAACGCUAAUACCGGAUACGUCCUUCGGGAGAAAGAUUUAUCGCUGAAAGAUUGGCCCGCGUCUGAUUAGCUAGUUGGUGAGGUAACGGCUCACCAAGGCUAUGACGCUUAGGGGGGCUGAGAGGCUGAUCCCCACCGAUGGUACUGAGACACGGACCAUACACCUACGGGUGGCCGCAGUCGAGAAUCUUCCACAAUGGGCGAAAGCCUGAUGGAGCGACGCCGCGUGAUUGAUGAAGUCUCUAGGGAUGUAAAGAUCUUUUCUGAAGGAGGAAGUUUUGACGUUACUUCAGGAAUAAGGGGUUGCUAAACUCGUGCCAGCCGCCACGGUAA
Molecule: ribosomal RNA, 451 nt
Filed under: uncultured bacterium
Lineage: Bacteria
Description: partial 16S ribosomal RNA
Rfam family: Bacterial small subunit ribosomal RNA
Source: RNAcentral